GUCGAGAUGUUGGUGUAGAUGUGCGCCCAUUUGAAAGAACACGCCCAGCUGAAGUUGAAGGACCUGAGGCAGAUGACAGUAAUGGAUUCCGACGUGUAGGAGUAGAUGGGCAAGAAUUUGAACGAGUCACAGUUGAAUUCAAGUUUGCAGGAAUUUGCGCCCUAGAACUUGGAGUUGAGGGCCUUGAGCUUUGGGAUUGGCGAGUCUUGUCAAUUAAAGAGCUGGUGGGGGCUGGACGAACUCUACAUGGAGUUG
This 255-nucleotide unclassified non-coding RNA is filed under the name Hevea brasiliensis (rubber tree). The record is from RNAcentral. Lineage: Eukaryota; Viridiplantae; Streptophyta; Magnoliopsida; Malpighiales; Euphorbiaceae.